RNAcentral lists this unclassified non-coding RNA (395 nucleotides) under Hevea brasiliensis (rubber tree). Lineage: Eukaryota; Viridiplantae; Streptophyta; Magnoliopsida; Malpighiales; Euphorbiaceae. The record is from RNAcentral.
GGGAUCCAGAUCGAGCGCCGGUGCGGAGGAGGGAAGGAUGAUGUGGAAGGACGCCGGAGCUCCGACGGAUUCGUUUUACGAGGUGCGGGCUGAGUGUAAUGAUGUGCCGAAGACGAAGUUCAAGAUCAAGGCGGGGAAGACUCUCAGUGUGCGAAGAUGGCAGGCUGCAUUUAGUCCGGAGGGUUACUUGGAUAUUGCCCCAACCCUAAGUCGCAUUCACCGUGGGGGUAUUCACCCUUCGAUUAGAGGAGAAGUUUGGGAGUUCCUACUUGGUUGCUUUGAACCUAAAAGCACCUUUGAAGAGAGAGAACAGCUGAGACAACGCCGGAGAGUGCAAUACUAUAGAUGGAAGGAAGAGUGCAGGGAAAUGGAUUCUCAUGUUGGCAGUGAUAAAA